ACUUUUGACCUCGGAUCAGGUAGGGAUACCCGCUGAACUUAAGCAUA
This 47-nucleotide ribosomal RNA is filed under the name Alternaria simsimi. RNAcentral's name for it is "partial 28S ribosomal RNA". The record is from RNAcentral. RNAcentral also lists the same sequence under 2 other names. Lineage: Eukaryota; Fungi; Ascomycota; Dothideomycetes; Pleosporales; Pleosporaceae.